GCACGUUUUGAUCUUUCGAGAAGGAGACUCCACAACCUCUCUGGGCAGUCUGCUCCAGUGCUUGGUCACCUUCACAGCCCCAGCCUGUGAGCACCACACUCACGAUAAGGGGAAGUUUGCUGCGAAGAGAGGAGUCUCCUACUACCAUCUCCUGCUUGGAUUCCUUCUCAGCUCUUGAGAACAGUCGUCGUGGAUCCUCAAGUCAGUAAUUGGUUGGAAAGUCCCUCUCACUUGAAGAUGACCAGUCCUUAAGGAAAUGCACAUCCUCUCUUUGCCUCCUAAGUUCUGAGGGGAAAGACUCUCUGGCCCUGUAAGAAACUUGAGUAAUUGAUGUGUUUUGUCAUUUGA
Long non-coding RNA from Pogoniulus pusillus (Red-fronted tinkerbird), 348 nucleotides. RefSeq lists it as uncharacterized. The record is from RefSeq and is a predicted model, not a curated record. NCBI's taxonomy places the organism in Eukaryota, Metazoa, Chordata, Aves, Piciformes, Lybiidae. The transcript is spliced from 2 exons.